This 249-nucleotide ribosomal RNA is filed under the name uncultured archaeon. Its description in RNAcentral is "partial 16S ribosomal RNA". The stretch from base 1 to 148 matches the Rfam family "Archaeal small subunit ribosomal RNA", at positions 339 to 488 of the family's 1478-position model. The record is from RNAcentral.
GCUCGAAUACUCCGCAAUGCGGGAAACCGCGACGGGGCCACCCCGAGUGCCGCCCGAUGAGGGCGGCUUUUCCCCCGUGUAAGGAGCGGGGGGAAUAAGCGGGGGGCAAGUCUGGUGUCAGCCGCCGCGGUAAUACCAGCCCCGCGAGGCUAGGCCAGCCUUCAUGGCUGGCCUGGCGCGCAUGGGCGGGGGGUUUACUGGGCCUAAAGCGCCCGUAGCCGGCCCGGUACGGCGCCCCUGAAAUCCACG